GACAAGCUCCCUACACUGGGUCAAAUCUUGAGUACCCUGAAUGGCUAUUCUAUAAGUACUUGGGAGUGUAACAUGUGACAGCAGAUUAGGACCCACAGGGGUUUAGAAGUCAUUGUUUCACGAGAAAACGGAGGUUCAAAGUGAUUUGCACAAGAUGAUAAGGCUGGCUGGUGACCAACAGGGACCAUAACUCAUGACUCGGAGUCUGGGUCAGAGCACCCUUCUGCUCCUAUGGUGGCCCCAAAUCCUGGAUGGCUCUGAUUUCCAGAGGAGGCUCUGAUUGCCAGCUUUCUGCCCUUUCCACUGUCAGAGUACUUGGAUGUGACAGUUUCCCCACCCCAGUUUGGGACUUAGCAGGAAUUACGGUCACACUGCCUGUGUAUCCUGGGGCGUCCCCAUUGGCCAUCUGUCUCGGUGUAAGAGCUGACUCUUCCUUUUCCUUUCUGAGACCUUACUUGAGAUAGUUAAUAACCUUGGGCCUUGUAGAAAUUGCAAUCGCUCUUAAAAGAAGUGUAAAAUUGGUAUUAAUAUUUAAUUCCUACAAUUUGGAAGAACUUGAAACUGCAAUUAGAUGGCAGUGCCUGUCAGCUUCCAGCAGGCGGGCAUGCUCUUGUUAGAUCCCUCAGAGGCUGCAGAGGGCCGCCCAUCACCUUCGCAUGUGUUCCUUAACAAUGUGCUCACAGUCUCUCAAGAGGGAGCUCCAGAUGGUGAAGGAAACUCUGCAGGCCAUGAUCCUGCAGCUCCAGCCAGCAAAGGAGGCAGGAGAAAGAGAGGCUGCAGCUUCCUGUGUGACAGCUGGUGUCUGGGAAGCACAGGCCUGAGGCAUGACAGGAUAGGGGAAGGAGGAAAGAGCGCAGCUCCUGCCUCCGUUAGGAUCUAUGCACAUGAGACAAUUUUUGCCACUUCCUGAAGUCACACUGUCAUUUUCAGAAGGCAGCUGGUGCUUUGCUGGGGCUCCCGUGCUGUGCAGAGCUGCUGUCCUCAGUCAAGGAGAUGCCCUGGCUCACGCCAGCCAUUGGCCACGGUUCAGGGAACAGAGCAAAGCACAGUGUUUGAAUUUGCUCAUUGUCAAUUUGCUGGUUGUGUUCUCUACAGUUUUAUCUUCAGCAUUUUUGAAAAUAUAUGAUACAUAUUUUAAUAAGUAUAAUCGGUUUGUUCCAGGAAUUCUUGGUUUUUUGAUGAUGGACCAAAUUCCUGAAUUAUUUAUAACUAUAGCUAAAAAUUAUUAUGUACUCAUCACAUGGCACUUGAAAUCCUUGAAUCUUUAAAUUGAUUCCAGUAAAGCAAAACUUGGGAAGAGUCAGAACUGCCCGUAUUGUCCAUAAGGAAUCCGUAGUUUGACGUGCGUCAUUUUAAAAAGCCUCCCAGAUGGAAGGCAUGUUCACAGUCACUGCCCCAAGUGUUUUGUGUUACUCAGGCAUCAUCAUGAAUAAUUCUGUGAGGUCCUGAUGUAUUUGAAAAGCCUGGAAGCUGAUAACUGCUCUGAGUGGCCCCCCAAAUAAGGGUUCUCUGGGACCCUCAGUGGACAAUGUGUUCCUUUCCUUGUUGAGAGGCCUGACCAAGUUUAAGUACUGGGGCAGGUGAAUGAUGCUUUAACCAUGUGCUGCAACUCAUCUCUAGCCUUUGCUGGUGUCUGAGUCAGUCAGGAAGCUUGCUAAAGGCCAGGGGUCCUCCGCUGGCCACACAGCUGUCUCAGGACAAACCCCCUCUUUGGCCACUGUGACCACAGAAGACCCAGGACCAUUUACCUCAAACAAUAAUACAGGGCAGUUUUUGUGAGGGCAACAUAAAAAGAAAUUAAGGCUUGAGUUUAAAAGCAACAAGACAACAACAAUUACAGUUUAAACUUUUAUGGAGACAGUCAAGACCACAAGCCAAAGGGCAGAUUGAAAGUGGUGACUUCGAUGCUCAUCUGCCUGUGCCACAGUGUGAGAGAAUAAAUGAUACAUUACAUGGCCCCGCGUGCUGAGACGCUGACGUUGAAAUGGCUGCCGGUUUAUCUUUCAGCAGCCCGAGUUGGGGCACCUUCUCAGUCUGUAACAGCCUCAGUUCCUUCCAACUUCCUGAAAUUUCAAGAUCAAAAUGAUCCUUCCCCAAAUCAUAUGAAUAUAAGAAAGUUUUCUUCCUCUGCCAUCGGGGUGGUCUGCCCAUCCGGGGAACAUGUAAGGGCUCGUGUGUAUGUGCUGGGAUGUCCUAAGACCUUUAAAGUCAUUAUCACCGUUAAUUCUUAUAGCAACCUUAGGAUGUGGGUGUUUGUAGAUGGCCAAACUGAGCCUUAGGAAACUAAUUAACUUCCUCAAGGCACAGAGCUGGUAAGCAGUGAAGCAACAGUAGCACUUGGAGAUAGGUAGAACGCUCGUAACUGGUGUUCUUUCUAAAGUGCCUUUAAUGUCUUUUUGGGACUUUGAGCCAUGGAACUUACUAGUUCACUUAAGAACUCGUGGUCGCCUUGGGAGUCCUUCCUGGAGAGUCAGAGAAACUGAGCCUCGGGAAUCUUGACUUCCCACUGCCGGAGGUGAGCCCCACUGUCCCGCGGCCGUCAAGGAUGGGCUCAGACAGGCUGAAGCCCACCUGCCCACCCACCACUGUCCCAACCAACCAUUCACUCCCAAUCCACCACAACAGCCUUGCCAGGAGCAACCACUUACUGCCUAACUGCGGGGCACGUUUUCUUGAAAAUCCCCAUCCAACUGGUGUUUUUCAGAAAGCAUUCGAGAGAGCAACCUAGCACUCAUUGGUCAAUGCCUUUUUGUCUAAGUGACUCGAUACUUUUAUUUUUAACAUCCUCACCUUGUCUAAUCUUUGAAUUUUGUCAUAUAAUUUAUUGCUUCAUGAAGUUUACUUUUUGUUACAUGAAAUUAAAACUGAUAUUCAAGCAUGGUGCACCUUUAACAUUUUUUUUUUUUGUCUUCUGGGGUAUGGAUGAUAGAAAAACUUAUCAGGUUUAUUCAUCCCAUGUUUUUGUUACAGGAUGAUUAACUGGACAAUUGCUUACUUCACACAAAACGUUCCUAAUCAAGCAAUGCUUUAAAAUUGUGUAUGUGUUUACUUUCAGAUAUCAACCAAUCAGAAAACAAUAGAACUAAAGUGAGGAACAGGACAAAGCUGCCACCAAUAUCACUGAAAUUCCCAGGAGUGAGAAUACUAGGACAAAGGAGAAAGGAAAAGUGGCGGUUCCUGAUUACUGAGAGCUCCAGAGUGAACUCACAGGGGUUCUAAAGCACUUUCUUCCUUUACCCACACUGGAUGGGGGCAUUUAUCUCCACGUUCAGUGGGGGCUCCAGCUCUCAGCAGGACAACAGCAUCUGUAACAACCACACAGCUGGGGACACUGGGAACAGAGCCUUUACUCUGCUUUCGUAUAAGCCUUUAGUAAAUAAAAAGCCCAUGCCACAGUCUUUCUUCCCCGGGAUGGAAGCGUCUGAUGCUUUGUGUGGGCCCAGAGAGUUCCAUCCUUUACAAGCAGGACGAGUAAGAACUUCCUGACGGAGGAACAGGAGGAGAACUGGAGAUAAUACACACUGAACUUGAUAAUACACGCUGUGGGGAAGACGCUUGUGGAGGUAUGAAGAGGAUGUUUAAAAAAAUGAAAAUGACAAGAAAACAACGCACUCUCAGAAAAUACAGGAGAUGCUAAAAAAAUAAUCGCGAGGUCCGAGGGAGGCAAAUGACGUGUUGCAACCUAUGAAAAAUAAAAAGAAAAUGGAAAAGACCUUUGUGCAAUGGCCAGUACUACACAAUGCACAGAAAACAAUCUCUGAUUUAUUACUUUUGACACAAAGAAAGUCAGAAAAGCAGAGGGCAUGCGCCAAGUGGUGUCCUGCUAAGUGGGGUUUUCACUUUGAAGGGCAAGCGUAGAAAGGCGUGUCUCCCAGGGGAGGAGCUGGCAAUUACCAUGGAGACCUUAACCUCGAGGGAAUGGAGCACUGAACGGAG
This 3936-nucleotide long non-coding RNA is filed under the name Equus asinus (donkey). RNAcentral describes it as "lncRNA (ENSEASG00005035907.1)". The record is from RNAcentral. Lineage: Eukaryota; Metazoa; Chordata; Mammalia; Perissodactyla; Equidae.